UUGCAAAUACCCUCCUGCUAGCUGUAGGAACUUGUAACGAUUCAUAAGGCUAGGGUGGUGUUAUGAGAUAUUCCAGGGCGCACGCGCGAAUGUCCAGCUGCUCCUUGUCGGUUAUGUGGGGUGAUGGUCUUGUCCCGGAAUCUCGAUGUGACGACAAUUAAAAAAGGGCGGCAAAUCGCCAUCCACGACACGGACAACGGACCUCAUAUGUGGUGGAGGAUCAUCUACCAUAAUCGUAACUUAGUAAAAUUCGGACCGCUAAUAAUCCAGCAAUUUGCAGUUUUCGAUUCCCACUCGAAUAUUUUAUAAUCAGCUACCCGCGCUUAAUGGAUAUGGAAAGUUGAUCCCUUAAAAAAUAAUUAACUUAGAUGAAAUAAUUUUAGAGUUGAGAGACAAUCUUGGCACCCCAAGAAUUAAUUAAAAAUAAACAUACAUUGCUG
This is a non-coding RNA of Drosophila melanogaster (fruit fly), 440 nucleotides long. Lineage: Eukaryota; Metazoa; Arthropoda; Insecta; Diptera; Drosophilidae. The record is from Ensembl.